UGCCUACGGGAGGCAGCAGCUAAGAAUCUUGCGCAAUGGGCGAAAGCCUGACGCAGCAAUUCCGCGUGGGGGACGAAGGCCCUCGGGUCGUAAACCCCUUUUGCGAGGGAAGAAGUUCUGACGGUACCUCGCGAAUAAGACACGGCUAACUACGUGCCAGCAGCCGCGGUAAUACGUAGGUGUCAAGCGUUGUCCGGAUUUAUUGGGCGUAAAGAGCCCGCAGGCGGCUUGCCAAGUUCGAGGUGAAAUCUCCCGGCUCAACCGGGAGGGUGCCUCGAAAACUGGCAGGCUUGAGGCAGGGAGAGGGAUGUGGAAUUCCCGGUGUAGUGGUGAAAUGCGUAGAUAUCGGGAGGAACACCAGUGGCGAAGGCGGCAUCCUGGCCCUGUCCUGACGCUCAGGGGCGAAAGCGUGGGGAGCAAACCGGAUUAGAUACCCGUGUAGUCAAC
This 447-nucleotide ribosomal RNA is filed under the name uncultured bacterium. Its description in RNAcentral is "bacterial SSU rRNA". It matches the Rfam family "Bacterial small subunit ribosomal RNA", at positions 335 to 798 of the family's 1533-position model. The record is from RNAcentral.